Molecule: ribosomal RNA, 253 nt
Filed under: uncultured bacterium
Lineage: Bacteria
Description: partial 16S ribosomal RNA
Rfam family: Bacterial small subunit ribosomal RNA
Source: RNAcentral
UACGUAGGGUGCAAGCGUUGUCCGGAAUUAUUGGGCGUAAAGAGCUCGUAGGCGGUCUGUCGCGUCGGCUGUGAAAACUCGGGGCUCAACUCCGAGCUUGCAGUCGAUACGGGCAGGCUAGAGUUCGGCAGGGGAGACUGGAAUUCCUGGUGUAGCGGUGAAAUGCGCAGAUAUCAGGAGGAACACCGGUGGCGAAGGCGGGUCUCUGGGCCACUACUGACGCUGAGAAGCGAAAGCAUGGGGAGCGAACAGG